CCUACGGGUGGCAGCAGUGGGGAAUAUUGCACAAUGGGGGGAACCCUGAUGCAGCGACGCCGCGUGAGGGAAGAAGUAUCUCGGUACGUAAAGCUCUAUCAGCAGGGAAGAAAAUGACGGUACCUGACUAAGAAGCCGCGGCUAACUACGUGCCAGCAGCCGCGGCAAUACGUAGGGGGCAAGCGUUAUCCGGAUUUACUGGGUGUAAAGGGCGCGUAGACGGUACUGCAAGUCAGGAGUGAAAGCCCCAGGCUUAACCAGUGGACUGCUCUUGAAACUGUGGAGCUUGAGUGCGGGAGGGGCAGGCGGAAUUCCUAGUGUAGCGGUGAAAUGCGUAGAUAUUAGGAGGAACACCGGCGGCGAAGGCGGCCUGCUGGACCGUAACUGACGUUGAGGCUCGAAAGCGUGGGGAGCAAACAGGAUUAGAUACCCGAGUAGUC
RNAcentral lists this ribosomal RNA (440 nucleotides) under uncultured bacterium. RNAcentral's name for it is "partial 16S ribosomal RNA". It matches the Rfam family "Bacterial small subunit ribosomal RNA", at positions 338 to 795 of the family's 1533-position model. The record is from RNAcentral.